Molecule: ribosomal RNA, 467 nt
Filed under: uncultured bacterium
Lineage: Bacteria
Description: partial 16S ribosomal RNA
Rfam family: Bacterial small subunit ribosomal RNA
Source: RNAcentral
GACGAACGCUGGCGGCGUGCUUAACACAUGCAAGUCGAACGGAAAGGCCCUGCUUUUGUGGGGUGCUCGAGUGGCGAACGGGUGAGUAACACGUGAGUAACCUGCCCUUGACUUUGGGAUAACUUCAGGAAACUGGGGCUAAUACCGGAUAGGAGCUCCUGCUGCAUGGUGGGGGUUGGAAAGUUUCGGCGGUUGGGGAUGGACUCGCGGCUUAUCAGCUUGUUGGUGGGGUAGUGGCUUACCAAGGCUUUGACGGGUAGCCGGCCUGAGAGGGUGACCGGCCACAUUGGGACUGAGAUACGGCCCAGACUCCUACGGGAGGCAGCAGUGGGGAAUAUGGCACAAUGGGCGGAAGCCUGAGGCAGCAACGCCGCGUGCGGGAUGACGGCCUUCGGGUGGUAAACCGCUUUCGCCUGUGACGAAGCGUGAGUGACGGUAAUGGGGAAAGAAGCACCGGCUAACUACGU